RNAcentral lists this ribosomal RNA (449 nucleotides) under uncultured bacterium. Its description in RNAcentral is "partial 16S ribosomal RNA". It matches the Rfam family "Bacterial small subunit ribosomal RNA", at positions 29 to 523 of the family's 1533-position model. The record is from RNAcentral.
AACGAACGCUGGCGGCAUGCCUAACACAUGCAAGUCGAACGAGACCUUCGGGUCUAGUGGCGCACGGGUGCGUAACGCGUGGGAACCUGCCCUUAGGUUCGGAAUAACGUCGGGAAACUGACGCUAAUACCGGAUAAUGUCUUCGGACCAAAGAUUUAUCGCCUUUGGAUGGGCCCGCGUAGGAUUAGCUAGUUGGUGGGGUAAUGGCUCACCAAGGCGACGAUCCUUAGCUGGUCUUAGAGGAUGAUCAGCCACACUGGGACUGAGACACGGCCCAGACUCCUACGGGAGGCAGCAGUGGGGAAUAUUGGACAAUGGGCGAAAGCCUGAUCCAGCAAUGCCGCGUGAGUGAUGAAGGCCUUAGGGUUGUAAAGCUCUUUUACCCGGGAUGAUAAUGACAGUACCGGGAGAAUAAGCCCCGGCUAACUCCGUGCCAGCCGCCGCGGUAA